UACGAAGGGGGCUAGCGUUGCUCGGAAUCACUGGGCGUAAAGGGUGCGUAGGCGGGUCUUUAAGUCAGGGGUGAAAUCCUGGAGCUCAACUCCAGAACUGCCUUUGAUACUGAGGAUCUUGAGUUCGGGAGAGGUGAGUGGAACUGCGAGUGUAGAGGUGAAAUUCGUAGAUAUUCGCAAGAACACCAGUGGCGAAGGCGGCUAUCUGGGCUGCAACUGACGCUGAGGCGCGAAGGCUAGGGUAGCAAACAGG
This 253-nucleotide ribosomal RNA is filed under the name uncultured bacterium. RNAcentral's name for it is "partial 16S ribosomal RNA". It matches the Rfam family "Bacterial small subunit ribosomal RNA", at positions 524 to 776 of the family's 1533-position model. The record is from RNAcentral.